Molecule: ribosomal RNA, 1360 nt
Filed under: uncultured bacterium
Lineage: Bacteria
Description: bacterial SSU rRNA
Rfam family: Bacterial small subunit ribosomal RNA
Source: RNAcentral
GAUGAACGCUAGCGGCAGGCCUAAUACAUGCAAGUCGGACGGGAUCUAAAAUUAAGCUUGCUUAAUUUUAGUGAGAGUGGCGCACGGGUGCGUAACGCGUGAGCAACCUGCCCAUAUCAGGGGGAUAGCCCGGUGAAAAUCGGAUUAACACCGCAUGACACAGCAGUUUCGCAUGAAACCACUGUUAAAUAUUUAUAGGAUAUGGAUGGGCUCGCGUGACAUUAGCUAGUUGGUAAGGUAACGGCUUACCAAGGCAACGAUGUCUAGGGGCUCUGAGAGGAGAAUCCCCCACACUGGUACUGAGACACGGACCAGGCUCCUACGGGAGGCAGCAGUAAGGAAUAUUGGUCAAUGGAGGGAACUCUGAACCAGCCAUGCCGCGUGCAGGAUGACUGCCCUAUGGGUUGUAAACUGCUUUUGUCCAGGAAUAAACACCUCUACGUGUAGAGGCUUGAAUGUACUGGAAGAAUAAGGAUCGGCUAACUCCGUGCCAGCAGCCGCGGUAAUACGGAGGAUCCGAGCGUUAUCCGGAUUUAUUGGGUUUAAAGGGUGCGUAGGCGGCCUAUUAAGUCAGGGGUGAAAGACGGCAGCUUAACUGUCGCAGUGCCUUUGAUACUGAUGGGCUUGAAUGUGGUUGAAGAUGGCGGAAUGAGACAAGUAGCGGUGAAAUGCAUAGAUAUGUCUCAGAACUCCGAUUGCGAAGGCAGCUGUCUAAGUCAUUAUUGACGCUGAUGCACGAAAGCGUGGGGAUCGAACAGGAUUAGAUACCCUGGUAGUCCACGCCCUAAACGAUGAUAACUCGAUGUUGGCGAUAUACAGUCAGCGUCUUAGCGAAAGCGUUAAGUUAUCCACCUGGGGAGUACGCCCGCAAGGGUGAAACUCAAAGGAAUUGACGGGGGCCCGCACAAGCGGAGGAGCAUGUGGUUUAAUUCGAUGAUACGCGAGGAACCUUACCCGGGCUUGAAAGUUACUGAAUUAUCUAGAGAUAGAUAAGUCCUUCGGGACAGGAAACUAGGUGCUGCAUGGCUGUCGUCAGCUCGUGCCGUGAGGUGUUGGGUUAAGUCCCGCAACGAGCGCAACCCCUAUGUUUAGUUGCCAGCAUGUAGUGGUGGGGACUCUAAACAGACUGCCAGCGUAAGCUGUGAGGAAGGUGGGGACGACGUCAAGUCAUCAUGGCCCUUACGUCCGGGGCUACACACGUGCUACAAUGGAUGGUACAGCGGGCAGCUACACAGUAAUGUGAUGCUAAUCUCGAAAAGCCAUUCACAGUUCGGAUUGAGGUCUGCAACUCGACCUCAUGAAGUUGGAUUCGCUAGUAAUCGCGUAUCAGCAAUGACGCGGUGAAUACGUUCCCGGGCCU